This 263-nucleotide ribosomal RNA is filed under the name uncultured archaeon. RNAcentral describes it as "partial 16S ribosomal RNA". It matches the Rfam family "Archaeal small subunit ribosomal RNA", at positions 716 to 982 of the family's 1478-position model. The record is from RNAcentral.
AGUCACUGACAUUAGAUACCCGCGUAGUCCAGGGUGUAAACGCUGCAGACUUGGUGUUGGAAGUCCUUUGGGGGCAUUCAGUGCCGGAGAGAAGUUGUUAAGUCUGCUACUUGGGAGUACGUCCGCAAGGAUGAAACUUAAAGGAAUUGGCGGGGAGCACCGCAACGGGAGGAGCGUGCGGUUUAAUUGGAUUCAACACCGUAAAACUCACCAGGGAAGACUGUUACAUGAAAGCCGAGAUGAAGACUCUGCUAGAUUUUCAG